RNAcentral lists this ribosomal RNA (234 nucleotides) under uncultured bacterium. RNAcentral's name for it is "partial 16S ribosomal RNA". It matches the Rfam family "Bacterial small subunit ribosomal RNA", at positions 524 to 755 of the family's 1533-position model. The record is from RNAcentral.
UACGAAGGGGGCUAGCGUUGCUCGGAAUCACUGGGCGUAAAGCGCACGUAGGCGGAUUGCUAAGUCAGGGGUGAAAUCCUGGAGCUCAACUCCAGAACUGCCUUUGAUACUGGCGAUCUCGAGUCCGGGAGAGGUGAGUGGAACUGCGAGUGUAGAGGUGAAAUUCGUAGAUAUUCGCAAGAACACCAGUGGCGAAGGGCGGCUCACUGGCCCGGUACUGACGCGUGAGGCGCG